UUCCAAAAUUUUUUUAAAUAAAUUAUCAUCUAUCACUUAGUUGAAUACAUUCUAAGCUAAGGGUGUGUUUUGUUUGACAUAAAACUAUGAAAAAGAAAAUUUCGGUGGAAAAAAAAAAUUUCGGAGAAAAAUAAAUUUUAUGACAUCUAGUGUUUGGUUAUUAGGAAAAUAAAAUAGUUUUCCGUUACGAUUGUUUGGUUGAAAAGAUUGAAAAAAAAAUUAUAAAUAAAAAAUUAAUAUAUAUAUUUUUAUUUAUAUAUUUUAUAUUAUUAAUAUAUAAUUAUUAUCAUAUUACAUAUAUAGUUUAUAUUUAUAAAUAAAAUAUAUUUAAAAUAUAUUAUGUAAUAAUUAAGUAUAUAUGUAAUAUAAUAUAUGACAGUAUAUAUUUAAUACUAUAAAAUAAAUUACUAGAUAUUUAUAAAUAAAAUAUUAUAUAAUAAAUAUAUUUAUAUUAAAAUAAAAUACUUUCUUUAAAAUAUAUAUAAAUAUAUAUAUUAUUAUAUAUAUUAUAUGUAAAAAAAAAAGAAUGGGGAGAGAGAGAGGUCCACUGUCCCCCUCCUCUCCCAAACGCCGAGAUUUUUGCGCAUAGUUUUCGUUUUCCACUAGCUUCGAGCGGAAAACAAAAGCAUCUUUUUUCCUCACAAUUCGUAAAAAAAUAAAAUUUUCAAAAAAAAAUUUUUACGAGCAAACAAAUGGCAAAAUUUUAUUUUUCCACCAAUUUUUUUUUUCAGGAUAAUUUUACGAGAAACAAACACACCCUAACCUAUAUUAAAAGAACAAAGAAUCUUAUUUCUUCCAACAUAUCUAAUUAUAUUAAAUUAAUAUUUCUUUUAAACAAUAGAAACGGCAAUAAUACUAAAGGACUAAGCGUCACAGACAUGGACACAACACGACUCGGACACGGCGACUAAGCAAUUUCCAAAAAAUUGGGACACAUACGAGUAUGGUAAGAACACAGCUAAUAAAAUACAAUAUUAUUAAUAUAAUAAUAUAUAUAUUUAUAAUAUAUUAAGUAUUAAUUUUGCUAAAAUGUUAUUAUAUUUCUUUUAUGAAUAAAAUCCACCAUACGUAAUUUAUUUAUAUUAUCCCAAAAAGAUAUGCAUUCAUCAAAAAGUUAAAAUAAUUAUAGUCUUAUUUAUAUAUAUAUACAUGCAUAAAAGAAACUAAAAUAAAAAAAAUAUAUUUUUUCAAAUGAGAUGCGCUAUGGACCUAUAUCGAAGGUGCAUGUGUCC
Molecule: long non-coding RNA, 1232 nt
Filed under: Ananas comosus (pineapple)
Lineage: Eukaryota; Viridiplantae; Streptophyta; Magnoliopsida; Poales; Bromeliaceae
Description: long non-coding RNA (ACOM_LNC003912)
Source: RNAcentral